Molecule: non-coding RNA, 108 nt
Filed under: Bacillus sp. (in: firmicutes)
Lineage: Bacteria; Bacillati; Bacillota; Bacilli; Caryophanales; Bacillaceae
Description: Bacillus sp. TPP sequence
Rfam family: TPP riboswitch aptamer (THI element)
About the family: Vitamin B(1) in its active form thiamin pyrophosphate (TPP) is an essential coenzyme that is synthesised by coupling of pyrimidine and thiazole moieties in bacteria. The previously detected thiamin-regulatory element, thi box was extended, resulting in a new, highly conserved RNA secondary structure, the THI element, which is widely distributed in eubacteria and also occurs in some archaea.
Source: RNAcentral
UAUGACCACAAGGGGAGCCGAUUAAGUCGGCUGAGAUUGUACACUCGUUGUACUGACUCUUUGAACCUGUAAGUUAAAGCUUGCGUAGGGAUGUGGAUAGAAACCGAC